This 1932-nucleotide long non-coding RNA is filed under the name Triticum aestivum (bread wheat). Its description in RNAcentral is "long non-coding RNA (TAES_LNC002467)". The record is from RNAcentral. Lineage: Eukaryota; Viridiplantae; Streptophyta; Magnoliopsida; Poales; Poaceae.
UCUGGAGGAAAAAGUGGUAGGAAACGCUCACCAGCGCUUGACUGUGUGAAGCAAUCACUUGGGAUUGGAGUCUUAUAAGGUAUUUUGGAAUGUGAGAGGCAUAGGACAAGAUCACAAGAAAAGAUACGUUAGAGAAAUGAUUAUAGAUCAGAAGCUGGACCUUAUUGGACUCUCUGAGACCAUAAAGCAAGAUUUCACAAAAAAUGAAUUGCAUAAUUUGUGUGGAGGGAGGAAUUUUCAAUGGAGUUGGAAUCCACCCAGAGGAAUGUCAGGGGGGAUUCUGAUGGGGGUUAAUAAAGAUGUGUUUAAUGUAGAAAACAUUGAAAAAGGACAAUAUUUCUUGAAAAUGUUAAUAUUUGAUAAAAAUAUCAAAAUGCACUGGAAUUUGGUCACUGUAUAUGGGGAUGCACAGAAGGAGGGAAAAGCGAGUUUCCUUGCUGAAUUGGCAAGAUUAUAUCAUGAUAAUCCUCUGCCUUGCUUGGUUGGGGGAGAUUUCAACAUCAUUAGAAGUGAAAAGAAGAAGAACAAACCUAUGCUUAAUGAACAAUGGUCCUUCAUGUUCAAUGCCAUUAUUGAACAAGCAGGGCUUAGGGAAUUACCCCUGAAUGGGAGAAAAUACACUUGGGCUAAUAAUCAGGAGGAUCCUACUUUUGAAAAGCUAGAUAGAGUGCUGAUGAGCCCAGCUUGGGAGGAAAAAUACCCACUCACCAUACUGCAAGCUUUUGCUAGAGAGUUAUUUCCAGAUUUAGCUAGAAGUGCAAUAUUCAUUAUUUCCAGAUUCAGUAUCCCCAAGCCCCCCAUUUCUUUGGGCAAACAACAAUCUUUCCAAUUCACUAAGUGGUAUUUUAGGAACAGUACUAUAGUACCAUGAUAAAUGCACCAUCCAGAUCGGUGCUUAUUUGACGGAAGUAAAAAAUCUGUGCAUGGUAGAUAGGAUUCAUACUCUGGUGGCUUGGUUAACCCUUCAGCCAACUGGCCAAUUAUUGGUUGCUGGUUGCUGGUUGGAUUGAAGAAGUCCAGCUAUUUGAGUGAUUGAUCCAAAAAAGCACCUCACUUGGAAACCAUCCCGAAAUUAUUGGGAGAGCCUAAAAAGCACUUAUAAGGUUUUCUUAGGGAAGGCUGUUGGAGAUGCCCUAAAUAAUAGCUUUGUGUUUUCAUGUUAAGCUGGUAAUUGGCUGGUUGGUUGAACCACACCUCAUGUCACCGCGCGGUACUCUGCAAUUUGUCUGGUUGAAUUGUAUUGUAUCACUCUUAAAACUUGGUUCUUUUUUAUCACAGGAAACAGCUGGAAUCACAUGGGGGCAACAAUGUAGGAAAGCCAGACAUGAUUGGAUGCACUAGCACCGAGGAGGAAACCCCAGUGAUGAAAUAUAUGGCUACUCGAGUGAUGAAUUCUGUAGAAGAACGCCAUCCAGAGUGAAUUGCACUGAUUUGAUAACAUAACCUCGCGUUGUGUUUGCCCGGAAAGUAAAAAAAAGUCACGAUCAUGCAGGUACAUACUAGCUUCAUCUGUUUCUAAGAACCAUUCUUCUAUAGGUGCCCCUGACUCAAAUUCCCGAUACAUCUCAUCCCUUGUGACUAUCCAUGCUAUUCACUCUGUUCAUCAUUGUUGCUCUCUUUCCACACUUCGACAGUCUCCUCUAGCAACUAAAUUUGAUCCUCCUACAUAGGGGAAGAAGCUAGUUAUUUUAUAGGAUGCCAGCUAGUGAUCAAUGUUACGUGUGGCCUUGAUAUCAUUAUUGCUUCACCAAACAUCACAUGCCAAUUGUUGUGGUCUUUUAUUUCCACAAUUAAUGGUUUAGCGGUUGGCAUUUGUAGCACUCGUAGCAUAUCUAAACAUGAGCAGACAUAAAAUGGAAUGCUGGUAAUAAACCACAUCUUUAUAUACGUCUUAUUAACAAUUUUUUAUAAAUCCGGUUUAGUAAAUCCAAG